AUCCAUGUUGCUGCAAAUGGCAUUAUUUUGUUCUUUUUUAUGACUAAGUAGUAUUCCAUUGUGUAUAUGUACCACAUCUUAAUCCAUUCAUCCAUCAAUGGGCAUUUAGGUUGUUUCCAUGUCUUGGCUAUUUAAUAGUGCUGCAAUGAAUAUAGGGGUGCAUGUAUAUUUUUGAAUGAAAGUUUUGUCUGGAUAUAUGCCCAGGAGUGGAAUUGCUGGGUCAUACAGUAGUUCUAUAUCUAGCUUCUGAGUUACCUCCACACUUUUACAUAGUGGUUGUAGAUUAUCUCCAUUUCUAAAGAAGAAACUGCGACUUCAAGUGGAGAGAAUUGUCAAAGUCCACCCAGGUUGUAAAGGGCAGAGCUGAGAUUCAGGCCCAGCACUCAAGCUCCCAUCCUCCCACCCUUCCCUCUCUCUCUCUCUCUCUCUCUCUCUCUCUCUGUCUCUCUUUUUUUUUUUUUCUUUUUUUUUUUAAGGGCUGCACCUGUGGCAUAUGGAGGUCCCCAGGCUGGGGGUUGAAUAAGAGCUAUAGCUGCCAGUCUACACCACAGCCACAGCAACAACAGCAGCGCCAAAUCUGAGCCACAUCUGCAACCUACACCACAGCUCAGGGAAACGCCAGAUCCUCAACCCACUGAGCAAGGCCAAGGAUUGAACUGCAUCUCCAUAGAUACUAGUAGGGUUCAUUAACCGCUGAGCCAUAACAGGAACUCCCUCACCCUUCCCUUUUAAGCCUUAUGCCCUAUUAUUUGGGUGUCUGGCUUGGGCAACAGAGAGAAUAGUGGUACCAUUUACAGAGGUGGAAAUCAUAGAAGGAUUCAUGAGUUUGGGUGGGAAGAAAGUUACAAGUUCAGUUUUCAGCAUGUUUAUGGGACACUCAAAUGGGAAGGAGCAGUGGGUAGAGCUCAGGAACUAGGUUCAGUAGUAAGUAGGAUCCACACAUAGGUUGAGGGUUACCAGCACAUGAACAACAAUUACACUUCACAGCUUUCCUUCUUGAGAAAGAUGCUGAGUUUGGGAGCAGACUCAACACUUUCGCAGUGGAGAGGGAGUGGGAAGGUGCCAAUGGUAAUGAGCCCAGUUGAGUCAGACCCUAGGACCUCCAGGAUGUCUUCUCUUAGCCUCAUCCAUCUCUGCCCCCGAAUCAUGCCCAAUAGCCUCUCAAAGGGCAUGCUGUCAGGCCCCAGGCACUCUGAAACCCCAUCUUCCCAGGCAGCCUUUUGGCACCUGCUUCAUGACAAUGCCACAGGAGCUGCUUUAAUGCUGAUUAACUCCUCCUUUAAAAAGUCACGUUUCCACACUGCCUGCCAAACGGUAACAGACAGAUAAUGUACUGUGUCAUUAGCACAUCCCUGUCUAUUUAAAAACCUCCAGAGAAGCAAAGCAGAUGAGCCUUGGAGUUAGCUCAGCAGUGGGAAUUAUUGCUUGGCUAAUUAUAAGCAGCAUUCUCAGAACUCCAAAAAGAUGUGAAGGGGAGGGGCACAACCCCUGUCUUCCCUGAGGAGCCAAGAGUAGCUGUUGAAACAUACCAACUCAACACUCAACACACAGGAAACUAAGAAAGACAUGACACCCAGGUACAACUCUGGUCCCAGACAUAGUUCUUCAUCCAUGACACAGUGUGUCACCAGUCCCCAGGGAUCCUCACAUAGUGUUUGACCCUGGUGUGGUCUUCUCCCCCCAUGAAUCAAGGCUGGCAUUGUCUGGCGAGUGGAAGGUAGAAGAAAUGUGAUUUUCAAGGCUCUAGGUUUUUCUAUAAUAAAUGACACUGCAGCUUCCACUUUGGUCUCUUGGAUUGCUCACUCAGACACCAUGUUGUGAAGACACUCAAGCAGCCCUGUGGAACCGAGACCACCCCCACACCCCGCCCCAGCCAGCAGCCAGUCAGCUCCAACUCUCCAGCCUUGUAAGUGAGACACUCUGAAGUUGAAUAUUCCAGUUUCAGUCAAGCCUUCAGAUGAUGCAGCCACAGCUGACAUCUGACUGGAACGUUAUUUAUAAAAGACCAUCAAACCAGAACCACCCAAUCAAGCUACUCCCAACUUCCUGACCAACAGCAACUGCUAGAGAUAAUAAAUGAUUAUUGUUGUUUCAGCCUCUGAGUUUUGUUACAUUAGCUAAUACAGUUGAUAAAAAGACUGAGCCCCCACUCUGCAUCAGGGACAUACAUGAUCUCAUUUAAUCCUCACUGAUAAGGGGCUACCAGCUCCACUUUAUAGAUGAGAAAAACCAAAGUUCCUAUUGUGGCUCAAUGGUAAUGAACCUGACUAGUAUCCAUAAGGAUGCAGGUUUGAUCUCUGGCCUUGCUCAGUGGGUCAAGGAUCCAGCUUUGCCAUGAGCUGUGGUAUAGGUUGCAAAUGUGGCUCAAAUCCUGCAUUGCUGUGGCUGUGGUGUAAGCCAGCAGUUGUAGCUCCAAUUUGACUUCUAGUCUGGGAACUUCCAUAUGGCAUGGGUAUGGUCCUAAAAAGACAAAAACAAAAAACAAGGCACCAAGUAUACAAGACUGCAAAGCCUGCGCAGUCCAACAGCUAAGAAAUGCAGAACAAGGGUUCAAAUUCUGACCUGCCUGCCUUCAAUGCUCCAGCCAUUUCUAUCACCAUAUUCUUAUUUCCCUGAAAAUAAGCUGCCCAAGACCCUGGUUUUAGCUCUGCCACUAAAUAGCUUAGUAAUUUGGAAAAAUUUUUUUCAUUCCUCUUAGGCUCCUUUUCUUUUCUAUAAAGUGGGAGGUUCAGUCUUUAGCCUCUGAGGUCUCCCUUAGCACUAAUAUUCUUUGCCCCUGUAGCCCUAUUUCGCUGUAUCUACCUUCCUCCUAGGACAGGUUGUUCUCAAAGAUUUUCCUCUUGCUGUUCCGCAUCACCUCAGGAGGAGUUGGCUUCAUUUGCAGCACAAGGGUCUUAGGUGAGCUGUUAAGAAAGCUUUGGGAGUGCUAGGAAACCCAAGUUACCCAGAAAACAUAAGAAACUUCCUUCCUCAGAAGAUUCUCAAAACAAUGUUAGUAACUACCUGUCUAUGAGCUCUUCGGCUAGCUGAACAAAUUAGAAAAAAUGAAGUUAAGUUUGAAAGAAACCAGGUGAUGAGCCCUUAGUCAUUUCUAUCUUGCACAUAGUAUUUCAAGGAGAAUUUGUGGAACCCAUAAAUGAAUAACUGACUUCUUCCCUUGUGUCAAGUGGGAAAGUAGGCUGUGUGACAUAGGCAAGUUAUGUAACCAUUCUGAGCCUCGAUUUACUUAUCUGUAGAUAGUAAUGAACUCAAAAGUAUUGUAAUAAUUUUGAGACAGAAUAGUGCCUGUCGAAACUUUGGCAGAGUCUCUGGAAGAUGGAAUAUAUUCAAUCAAAGAAGGAUUAUAUUGAUGCCACAGAGAUGAAGGACACUUCGUUAGUCUCCCUGACAGUUGGGAUGCAGUUUCCUUCUGUUCUAUGAACACUUGAAAAGCAUUGGCAUUGUGGAAGAAGAGUAAAUUUUGGCAGGAGAAGGCCAGAUGGUAGACUCAACAGUGCUUCCAUCACCUUCCAGCUGCUCAAUAUUUGCUUUGGCAGCACCUCUCCACUGGGGCUCUCCAGCAGCAACCCUCACUUUUGCCAUGUUCACCCCCAAAAUCCACCAGUGCAUUUAGGGGCCACCCACUCCUAGCCCAAGCUUAGGAAAUCUAUCCAUGUUACCAGCCUUGAUAGGAAUCUGACUCCUGAUUGGUAGCCACUUUGGGACCAUCCAUUCAUAAAAGGGACUUUCAGCUUCACCAACUGUAUAGUGUAGCAACCACUUCCAGACAUCUCCCAGGAGAACUCUUAAGAAGAUACCAUUCCCUCUUACCUACCUCCAGAUCAGGCCUCUGCACCCACCUACUCAGAAGACUUAUUCCUUUGCAGCUCAUCCAUGCAAAGAAUUUUCCAAGAUUUUAGAUCCAGUAUGGGUCUCUAAGAGGCAGAUCCAUAUGUAAUGCCAAUUCUAUUCUGACUCAGAGGAUGUCAAAUGCUUUCUUAUCACUCAGCCAGCACAAGAGAAAGGAAAGGAUCCUGACAUUAAUGCUAUCAAGAGUAUGUAGUCCAAAAAGAGAUCUGGCUUCAUCAGGGGCUGUUGAUGGGCUAACUGAGUUAAACCCUCUCAUUUCAUUAGGAGGAGGAGACCAUAAUUACAUCUUGAAGCCCAUAAGUAAGGAGUCAUAAUAGUUAAAUAAGUGAGGAGGGCUCCAGAACAUUCAAUAAUACAAUCAGGUUAGGCCCAAGGAGAAAAUCUAAUCAUGGGAUCAAAGAUGACCCUUGUUUUUCAUUCAUCCUCAUUGGGAUGGCUGGUGAUGAUUUGUUUUCCAUUCAUUUCAUUUGGCUCAAAAAAGUAUGCUAUUUCCUUCAAUCUCCCCAUCAAAAAAAAAAAAAAAAAAAAAAAAAUCAGGAACUUCGCCAAAGUUAAUAAAAACAAACCAAAAAACAAACAGCAACAACAGGCAGCCUCACUUUAAGCCAGAAAUCUCAUACCCAAUUUAGGGAUAGGGAAACCAACUCAAAGUUGAUUUGACCAGUUACUUCAAGUCACUUUCACAUCUGUAUUCAAUUCACUUUCGCAUCUGUAUUGUCCUUUACCAUUGACAGACUUGGCACCCUCACUGUCAUGUUUAAUUUAUCCUCACCACAGCACUUAUGCCCAAUUUCCAGGUGUAUAAAAUAAACUUGUAGGUGCUUGAUUCAACAUUUACUGAGCAGCUAAAGUGAGCAGACAAAGUGUCAGGUAUGGGGAGGCCUUCUGUUACACAGAUGACUUGUCCGUGGUCAUAGAUCCAUCACGUGGUGGGGCUGGGAUUUGAGCCUUGUUCUUCCACCUUGUGAUGUGGGCCUGACUGUGACCUUAAAGCUGGGCCUGCAGAAUCAGCCCCUCUGACUAGGAGAAAGAGGUAGAGUGUUUGUCCCCUAGCUAUGUACGUAUUUGUUAUCCUGUAACUAAGAUUCUCUAGUUUGAAAAGUUUCAUCUUAAACCAUUUAUGUGAAGUUAGUUUUAAAAUAAGAGAUCUGGGGAGUUCCUGUCAUGGCUCAGCGGUUAAUGAAUCCGACUAAGAACCAUGAGAAUGUGGGUUUGAUCCCUGGCCUUGCUCAGAGGGUUAAGGGUCUGGUGUUGCUAUGAGUUGUGGUGUAGGUUGCAGAUGCGACUCGGAUCCCACAUUGCUGUGGCUAUGGCGUAGGCCGACAACUUAGCUCUGAUUUGACCCCUAGCCUGGGAACUUCCAUAUG
RNAcentral lists this long non-coding RNA (5216 nucleotides) under Sus scrofa (pig). Its description in RNAcentral is "lncRNA (ENSSSCG00035040839.1)". Lineage: Eukaryota; Metazoa; Chordata; Mammalia; Artiodactyla; Suidae. The record is from RNAcentral.